UGUGUGAUGAUCGAAAAUUUCUUCACUUUGACCUGACUUGUCUGCUUGAAGAAAUGCACAUAUCUGACA
Molecule: non-coding RNA, 69 nt
Organism: Calypte anna (Anna's hummingbird)
Lineage: Eukaryota; Metazoa; Chordata; Aves; Apodiformes; Trochilidae
Source: Rfam